RNAcentral lists this long non-coding RNA (3367 nucleotides) under Homo sapiens (human). RNAcentral's name for it is "HSALNT0087515". Lineage: Eukaryota; Metazoa; Chordata; Mammalia; Primates; Hominidae. The record is from RNAcentral.
CAGUCUCCCAAAGUGUUGGGAUUACAGGUGUGAGCCACCACACCUAGCCGGAAACCUGACUUCUUAGCAAACUGUCUCUCAGAGCAAAAUCACUUUAACCACAGUGAUUAAGACCAGAAUCCAUUGAUUAAAACGUUUUGUGUGUUUACAUGUAUGUAUAUAUGUGUGUGUGUGUGUGUGUGUAUAUAUAUAUAUAUAUAUAUAUAUAUAUAUAUAUAUACACAAAAAAGAUCUCAGAGACCUAAAUACAUUCCCAUUACUUAGCAGAUAUAAACAGCAAUUUCAAUUAUAAUCAGAAAGUUUCUUGGUGAACAUGGAAUCAGAAUAAAGAAAGUUGAGGUGGAAUUUCCUUGGUCCACAUCUCUUCUGCCUAGCUGGUGGUUGAAUGAAAAUACACCAUCAAUUGUGUCUAUUACUCUUUUUGCCAGUCCUUCAAUCAGGUUAUAAUCUAACCCUCUAUCAGCUCAGAAGACCAGGUACCUCUUUUUUCUUUCCUCAAAUCCAUUAGAUAUUGAAUUAUAGCUUAAGAUUUGGAGGGCAAAUAUGUGUUGCUUAUUUCAAAUUCUAUUUAUUGACUCACUCUGCCCACAUCCUAACAAAGACGAUAUAGAAGACCAACAGAGUUUCCUAUUAAUUGUCCUUUCAUUCACAAGAAAGAGACAUUGCUCUGACCAGCAUGCUCUGACUGUCAGGGAACUUAUUAUCAUCUUAAAUAAGAUCAAAUUAUGUUCAAUAAUGAAGACAAGAGUAGGAAGAAGCCACCUUGAAUCCAGUGGAACUGCUGUGCUCUGAAGUAAUGGUAAGGGCACAGGACUUGUCUGUUGUUUACCCAUGAAUGCUGUCCUUAGAAUCUUAGACAGCAGCACCACCUCACCUUAAUGUGUCCUUAGAGACAGCUGAAAGCUUGGUGUAACGACAUACAUCUAAGGAUACCUUUAUAAAUGAUAAGGCAAAUUGGUCCAAACAAAAAUUAAGCCUGACCUCAAAAUAUAUCUUUUAACUAGUUAUUUUUAUAAAAUUCAAAUGCCAUAGAAUGUGCUGUCUGCUUACAUAGACAAAGCUCUUGAUGCAUUUUGAGAUGCCAGUUGUUUGAUGGGUGAAUUGUAAUGAAGCUUCCUUUAAGAUUAUCUGCAGAAGCAGACAAGUGAUCAUUGAAUUUAGUUUGCCAUCCUAUGGCCUAGGCUCCUGUUGUCAUGAAAACCUGAAAUUGAUUGCCAAACACUUGCACAGUAAUUUUGAGAUUCUUAUAAUUUAAAGCUCAAUCAUUUCUUGACUGAAGGAUACUUAUUGAGGAAGCUUCCAUCAUCAACCUCCGUUUAAAAAAUUUCUUACUGUGUGGAUUUUAAUCAGGGCAAUAAAAGGAUCAUCCACAAGCUCCACAUCACUCAGCCAUAUUAAAUUAUGAUGUAAUCUAGUAAAAAAAUCAAUAAGUGAGACCCAGUAAGGAACCUGAGACUGUUCAAGACUAGAAUGCAGGUAGGCACCAUAUGGCCAGAAAUGAAGUGACUACGUAUUAUCUUCAACCAGGGACAUUGGAUUUACUCAGUUUCUUUGGGCUGGGCAAAAAUGACCUUGUAAUGCAUUGAGUUAUAGGCUAGCAGACAUUAGGCACCACACUAUCCCUUCAAGGUACGGUCUUUUUAACAAGUCCUAGGAAGGGCUGUUUGAGUUAAUUCAGAGCCCGCAGAAGGGCUCACAACAACCUCCUUGUUUUGUCCUAACGUGAGCUGAUCCUUCUUGCAUCAGGUGGCUCCUCUGACUGUCCUGCCCUUUGGGUACUGGGCAAUUAAUCCACAAACGCAAAAUCCUGAACCCUGGGCUAAGAAAAUACGAACUGAUUUGGUAAACAAAUGAUAUGUAAAAUCUAUACGCACAGAGUGGCAAGUGACAAAGGAAAUUGCAAAUGCCCCUAAAUGCUCUUUCCCAUCGAUUGGCAGAGAGAAUCUAACACAUACACAGAGGAGAUGGAGCAUAAAAUUGGGCGGACUGACUCAGAGCACUAAAGGGAGAGAAAUGCGCAAUUACUGUGGGAUUCGCCCAGAGGAGCAGCCUCAGGAGUUGAAGGGGAUCCUGUCCCUCCCAGAGGAAAGCUCACGAUUGGAUUGGAACUUCUAGCGACUGCCUGAGGCAAACGCACAUAAGGGUCCCCAGAUGCAGCGAAUGAACAGGUUUUCCUCGUAAAAAUGAUGGAGGUGAAGGUGGGGAUGGGGGUGCUCUCCUCACUCCGGAAUCUGAAGCGGGAGAGAGCUGGAUAAACCGCCGAGAUGACCUAAGUGGUCUGAGGCGACCAGCAGCGCGUCCACAGUGGAGGACCCAGGCCUCGGCUCAGACAUGGCCUGCUCCGCUCUUUCCCUAGGCUCCUCUGCAACAUCAGGCAACCAAGGCCUGCGCUCUCCUUUUCCUGAGGAGACUCCCUGGAACCUUCAAGAACCCCCCGACAGCCACCAGGAUACCCGGUCUGAAUGGUUUCCUACCAAGAAAGACCCCGAAGACCUGCAGUUCUGUCCAGAAACGAGUUUUUAGGGUCACUUGAAUUUGAGCUGCUGCGAGGGCGGUGCUUUAGGGAGCAGAGUUCAAAGAGGAAUUCCUCAGGACCCUAGGCCAGGUCCGCGUUAAAGGGCGCCUUACAAACCUCCUCUCCCCACACUCCCCCGCAGCCCCUUCCCCAACGUUUAAGGCACCGGAUCUUGAGAAGCAAAUCUAGUGCCCAGCUUCAAAUCCCCGCCUUGGAAAAGUACAAAGAGAAAACUGAUUUUUCAAAUCCCAAAGCCCUUUCCUUUUAAGCAACUUGGAAAAACUCAGCUAUAAACGCUUUCUCCUCUUAUGCUAAAAUUGAAAACUUAUAGAUUUUAGAUGGAAUGAAGAGAAGAUAUAUUCCUUUUCCCUUUAAAUAGCCACAUUUCAAAUUGUGCCAGGCAGCAAUUUCUGCGAAAAAGGAGUGGCGGUUGGGAUUGUUUGGGAGAUGGAGUUUUAUUUGUUCCCAUUUAUUUUGUUUUAUUUUUGUUUUAUUUUUUUCUUUGAGUUUCUUUGUUAUUUUGAGAUUCAUCUAAGAGACUCAGAAUUCCACUCUGAAUAAAGCACUUUUUGUUGUUUCAAAAUUUCAAACUGACAUAAGUGUUGGAUCAUCAGUUUUCCCUUUGUCUGCCCUAGUUGUAAAUAAUGGCUUUGAGAUUAGCUAAUUAAGGGGCAUUAAUCACUGAUAGAAAGGGAAUAAAUCAAAGCCUUGUUCUAAAUUUCAAACUUGCCUGUAUAGAUGUGCAUAGCUACUCUAUCUGGAGCAGAUAGGUGCUGUUUGAAUUACUGUUCUUCAGAGUAAACCAAAUCCACUUCGCUUUUAAAAAAUGAAUAUUGUAUUUAUACAGCCUGG